GACGAAGAACGACAAGAGGAUAUGUCUGCGAGGUUUUUUGUUAAAAAAAAAAUUGUAUGCUGACACAAAAAGAUGACCCAUGAAUUUUUAGAUGUAAGUCAUCCUGUUUUAACAUUUUGGAAUUUAUUGACAUGGGCGAAUGACAUUUGCACCGAUUUAAAAAAAAUGUUCGAUCUUUCAUUUGCGCCAAUUAAAUUCUUCAUUAGCGCAUAUCUAAUUUUUUUUUACACAAGCGAUAUUCUAUAUUUGCUGCACUUGUAUUUUAACAGGGGUAAGUAAAUACAUGUACAUGUACUUUACCUAGAAUGUAUAUUGGUAAAAUCUGGAUAUAAGCGGUGUUGACUUAUGUUUAAGUUAAUCUUGGUUCAUAUUGUUAGGAAACUUCGUUGUUACACGAUGGACAUAUUGCACACCGAAACGAGCCGAGAGGUCAUUUCUCUGAUCAUCGAUAGACUAGAUGGAAUACAAUAAGAAGUACAUUGGUAUUUGUAGCAUAUAAAUACUCGGCAAGAACUGAUCUAUAAUUUAUUGUAUUCAGUAUUAUUUUUAUUUUUUUAAAUAUUGUGCUUUUUAAUCUAUGGUUUUAGUGGAUGUGAACAGAAAACUGCUUUUAUCUUUUUUUACUUAUCCUGCCCGAAAUCCUACUUCCACCUCCCCGUGUUGGGCAGGGGAAACCAGUUAUAUGCAUGUUAUAAAUGGCAAUUCACAACAUAUGAACAACUGGCUAACGGAAGAAAUUUAUAAUGAUAAAUAGAAAACCACAUUUACCUGUAGUUUAGCUGAACACAAAAUGCGCAAUUGAAAGAAAACAUCGCCCUAAAUGAAAUGCAGAUCGGCGCAAAUGCAAAGCGCCGAAUAACAUCAACGAUACCACAGUUUCGUUCUUUGACACACUGUUUUGGCUAUUCUGAAGAGUAAUUGUAAAGUAUACCAUCUGUAGAUUGUUAUUCUUGUCACCGUAGAUUCAUAAUAAACAACGGCUCUGAUAUAUCCCUCAUCUUUCCAAAUUUCUAAUUUACCUUUAACUGAAAUCAAGCGCUUAAUUUGUCUAAAAAAAUCUACAGGUGACAAAAGCUGGAUUUUUAUACGAUUAAAAUCAAUGAAAC
This 1106-nucleotide long non-coding RNA is filed under the name Mytilus galloprovincialis (Mediterranean mussel). The record is from RNAcentral. Lineage: Eukaryota; Metazoa; Mollusca; Bivalvia; Mytilida; Mytilidae.